ACUCAAAUGAAUUGACGGGGACCCGCACAAGCGGUGGAUUAUGUGGAUUAAUUCGAUGCAACGCGAAAAACCUUACCUACCCUUGACAUGUCCUGGAGCCUGGUGAAAGCCGGGUGUGCCCGAAAGGGAACGGGAACACAGGUGCUGCAUGGCUGUCGUCAGCUCGUGUCGUGAGAUGUUGGGUUAAGUCCCGCAACGAGCGCAACCCUUGCCAUUAGUUGCCACAUUCAGUUGGGCACUCUAAUGGGACUGCCGGUGACAAACCGGAGGAAGGUGGGGAUGACGUCAAGUCCUCAUGGCCCUUAUGGGUAGGGCUUCACACGUAAUACAAUGGCGCGUACAGAGGGCAGCGAAGGGGCGACCUGGAGCCAAUCCCGACAAAGCGCGUCGUAGUCCGGAUUGCAGUCUGCAACUCGACUGCAUGAAGUCGGAAUCGCUAGUAAUCGCGGAUCAGCAUGUCGCGGUGAAUACGUUCCCGGGUCUUGUACACACCGCCCGU
This 499-nucleotide ribosomal RNA is filed under the name uncultured bacterium. RNAcentral describes it as "partial 16S ribosomal RNA". It matches the Rfam family "Bacterial small subunit ribosomal RNA", at positions 899 to 1397 of the family's 1533-position model. The record is from RNAcentral.